GGGACACGACACGUAUCACUGUUCAAGAGAUCCCCUGAGAAAUGAGGACUAGAAACUGAUACAAACCUGAAGACGGAGUCUCUUCAUUGGUCCAGUGUGGGUUAUAUCGUUCAGGUAGCAGACUUCCCGCAAUACCAUCCUCGUUUCUGCGUCCAACGAAUUGAAUACGAAAACCUCAAACGGAUCUGCAAAAAA
This is a long non-coding RNA of Selaginella moellendorffii, 195 nucleotides long. RefSeq lists it as uncharacterized. NCBI's taxonomy places the organism in Eukaryota, Viridiplantae, Streptophyta, Lycopodiopsida, Selaginellales, Selaginellaceae. The record is from RefSeq and is a predicted model, not a curated record. The transcript has 2 exons.